RNAcentral lists this ribosomal RNA (389 nucleotides) under uncultured bacterium. RNAcentral describes it as "bacterial SSU rRNA". It matches the Rfam family "Bacterial small subunit ribosomal RNA", at positions 30 to 420 of the family's 1533-position model. The record is from RNAcentral.
AUUGAACGCUGGCGGCAUGCCUUACACAUGCAAGUCGAACGGUAACGGGCCUUCGGGUGCCGACGAGUGGCGAACGGGUGAGUAAUGCAUCGGAACGUACCUUUCAGUGUGGGAUAACGUAGCGAAAGUUACGCUAAUACCGCAUAUUCUGUGAGCAGGAAAGCAGGGGAUCGCAAGACCUUGCGCUGAUUGAGCGGCCGAUGUCAGAUUAGCUAGUUGGUGAGGUAAAGGCUCACCAAGGCGACGAUCUGUAGCGGGUCUGAGAGGAUGAUCCGCCACACUGGAACUGAGACACGGUCCAGACUCCUACGGGAGGCAGCAGUGGGGAAUUUUGGACAAUGGGGGGCAACCCUGAUCCAGCCAUGCCGCGUGAGUGAAGAAGGCCUCGG